This 163-nucleotide small nuclear RNA is filed under the name Oncorhynchus kisutch (coho salmon). RNAcentral describes it as "U1 spliceosomal RNA (ENSOKIG00005002372.1)". It matches the Rfam family "U1 spliceosomal RNA". Rfam says of the family: U1 is a small nuclear RNA (snRNA) component of the spliceosome (involved in pre-mRNA splicing). Its 5' end forms complementary base pairs with the 5' splice junction, thus defining the 5' donor site of an intron. The record is from Rfam by way of RNAcentral. Lineage: Eukaryota; Metazoa; Chordata; Actinopteri; Salmoniformes; Salmonidae.
AUACUUACCUGGCAAGGGAGAUACUGUGAUCAAGAAAGCAGUUCACCCAGGGUGAGGCUCAGCCAUUGCACUGCGGCUGUGCUGACCCCUGCGAAUUUCCAAAUGUGGAAAUCUCGAUUGCAUAAUUUAUGGUAGUGGGGGACUGCGUUCGCGCUCUCCCCUG